RNAcentral lists this ribosomal RNA (418 nucleotides) under uncultured bacterium. Its description in RNAcentral is "bacterial SSU rRNA". It matches the Rfam family "Bacterial small subunit ribosomal RNA", at positions 386 to 793 of the family's 1533-position model. The record is from RNAcentral.
AUGCAGCCAUGCCGCGUGUGUGAAGAAGGCCUUCGGGUUAGUAAAGCACUUUCAGUAGGGAGGAAGGUAGUGUAGUUAACACCUGCAUUAUUUGACGUUACCUACAGAAGAAGCACCGGCUAACUCCGUGCCAGCAGCCGCGGUAAUACGGAGGGUGCGAGCGUUAAUCGGAAUUACUGGGCGUAAAGCGCAUGCAGGCGGCCUGUUAAGUCAGAUGUGAAAGCCCCGGGGCUUAACCUCGGAAUUGCAUUUGAAACUGGCAGGCUAGAGUCUUGUAGGAGGGGGUAGAAUUUCAGGUGUAGCGGUGAAAUGCGUAGAGAUCUGAAGGAAUACCAGUGGCGAAGGCGGCCCCCUGGACAAAGACUGACGCUCAGAUGCGAAAGCGUGGGGAGCAAACAGGAUUAGAUACCCCUGGUAG